GACGAACGCUGGCGGCGUGCUUAACGCAUGCAAGUCGAACGGAAAGGCCCUGCUUUUGUGGGGUGCUCGAGUGGCGAACGGGUGAGUAACACGUGAGUAACCUGCCCUUGACUUUGGGAUAACUUCAGGAAACUGGGGCUAAUACCGGAUAGGAGCUCCUGCAGCAUGGUGGGGGUUGGAAAGUUUCGGCGGUUGGGGAUGGACUCGCGGCUUAUCAGCUUGUUGGUGGGGUAGUGGCUUACCAAGGCUUUGACGGGUAGGCGGCCUGGGAGGGCGACCGGCCACAUUGGGACUGAGAUACGGCCCAGACUGCAACGGGAGGCAGCGGUGGGGAAUAUUGCACAAUGGGCGGAAGCCUGAUGCAGCAACGCCGCGUGCGGGAUGACGGCCUUCGGGUUGUAAACCGCUUUCGCCUGUGACGAAGCGUGAGUGACGGUAAUGGGUAAAGAAGCACCGGCUAACUACGUG
This 468-nucleotide ribosomal RNA is filed under the name uncultured bacterium. RNAcentral describes it as "partial 16S ribosomal RNA". It matches the Rfam family "Bacterial small subunit ribosomal RNA", at positions 28 to 507 of the family's 1533-position model. The record is from RNAcentral.